AGCGGAGGGGAGCGACCGCCAGCGUCGGCGCCAGAGAAGAAUUCAUGGCCGGAGGUGGUCGGCCUGUCGGAGGAGGAGGCCAAGAAGAAGAUCACAGAGCACAAGCCCGACCCCAGCGUCCACGUCGUUCCGUCCGACGCCUUCGUCACCAUGGAUUACAACACCGGCCGAGUCAGGUUCGUCGACUCCAACAACAAGAUCACGAAAGCUCCCAGGAUUGGCUAG
RNAcentral lists this ribosomal RNA (225 nucleotides) under Triticum aestivum (bread wheat). Its description in RNAcentral is "partial small subunit ribosomal RNA". Lineage: Eukaryota; Viridiplantae; Streptophyta; Magnoliopsida; Poales; Poaceae. The record is from RNAcentral.